UACGUAGGGUGCAAGCGUUGUCCGGAAUUAUUGGGCGUAAAGAGCUCGUAGGCGGUCUGUCGCGUCGAUCGUGAAAACUUGGGGCUUAACCCUGAGCUUGCGGUCGAUACGGGCAUGACUGGAGUUCGGCAGGGGAGACUGGAAUUCCUGGUGGUAGCGGUGAAAUGCGCAGAUAUCAGGAGGAACACCGGUGGCGAAGGCGGGUCUCUGGGCCGAUACUGACGCUGAGGAGCGAAAGCGUGGGGAGCGAACAGG
This 255-nucleotide ribosomal RNA is filed under the name uncultured bacterium. Its description in RNAcentral is "partial 16S ribosomal RNA". It matches the Rfam family "Bacterial small subunit ribosomal RNA", at positions 524 to 776 of the family's 1533-position model. The record is from RNAcentral.